UACAGUGUGGCCCUGUGGUGGUGCCGAAUGAUACACUGGAGGUACCGGUUUGUAUUGUGGUGGUAUUAGAUGACGAGGUGGAGGCACCAGAUUGUACUGUGGUGGUGCCCGAUGGUACGGUGGAGGAGUAGGGUUGUACUGGGGUGGCUCUAGAUCUUUUCGCUGUAAGAGUGGAUAAAUUGUGGCAACGGUGGAGGGUCAUACAGCUCCUUCCUUUCCUCCUGGGUCUGUUGGGUAGAGAUG
This 243-nucleotide long non-coding RNA is filed under the name Carica papaya (papaya). Its description in RNAcentral is "long non-coding RNA (CPAP_LNC012755)". Lineage: Eukaryota; Viridiplantae; Streptophyta; Magnoliopsida; Brassicales; Caricaceae. The record is from RNAcentral.